This is a non-coding RNA of Oryza glumipatula, 161 nucleotides long. Lineage: Eukaryota; Viridiplantae; Streptophyta; Magnoliopsida; Poales; Poaceae. The record is from Rfam.
AUACUUACCUGGACGGGGUCGACGGGCGAUCAAGGAGGCCCGUGGCCUAGAUCAAUGGCUAACAUUGCACUUGGUGAGCGCGUUGGUUUACCAUCUCCCCAAGUGGGAGAGUGGACGUCAUAAUUUGUGGUAGAGGGGGUACGCGUACGCGCGGCCCCUCC